UGGGGAAUAUUGGACAAUGGGCGGAAGCCUGAUCCAGCAACGCCGCGUGAGGGAUGACGGCCUUCGGGUUGUAAACCUCUUUCAGUACCGACGAAGCGAAAGUGACGGUAGGUACAGAAGAAGGACCGGCCAACUACGUGCCAGCAGCCGCGGUAAUACGUAGGGUCCGAGCGUUGUCCGGAAUUAUUGGGCGUAAAGGGCUCGUAGGCGGUUUGUCGCGUCGGGAGUGAGAACCAUGGGCUUAACUCAUGGCUUGCUUUCGAUACGGGCAGACUAGAGGUAUGCAGGGGAGAAUGGAAUUCCUGGUGUAGCGGUGAAAUGCGCAGAUAUCAGGAGGAACACCGGUGGCGAAGGCGGUUCUCUGGGCAUUACCUGACGCUGAGGAGCGAAAGUGUGGGGAGCGAACAGG
This 409-nucleotide ribosomal RNA is filed under the name bacterium. RNAcentral's name for it is "partial 16S ribosomal RNA". It matches the Rfam family "Bacterial small subunit ribosomal RNA", at positions 355 to 776 of the family's 1533-position model. The record is from RNAcentral.